CAGGGGGCAGUGCGCGCCGCCCGCCGCCCCCCGGGCCCCGCCCCCACCUGCGCGGCGCGGCGCGGCGCUGCACACGGCACCUCGCUCCUGCUCCGCUCCGCUCCGCUCCCGCCGGGCUCGCGGCGCAGCCUAGUGUGCUGGGCCCGCCCGGCGCCGCCUACCCUGCUGCCCGAGGGGCGGGCACGGGGCGGGGCCUAGGGAAGCGCCGCGGUUGCCGCGGUAACCGCCGCCUGGGGGCGGGGCCGCGCGUCUCCUCGGACGGGUUCGAGUCCCGCGCGCCGCCUCGGGCCUGUGGCCCCGCCUGGGGGCGUGGUGUCCUCCUGGUUCAUUUACAGCAAGUGUGCGUGGCAGGAGCAAGCGGACACUGCCGGCCCCGGUGGACGUGGACACUCAAGCUAUUACCCGCGGUUUAUCGUUUCACCAGGAGCCCCAGCAGCAUACACGCAAGCCUUACCCCGGCCCCUCCUGCAGCUAAUGGACCUCAUUCAUCUCUGCCCAUUUCUGUCGGUUUGGGUUUUUUUAAUGCACGAAUAUCACUUGUCGUUGUCGUCCGGAUAAUAGGCUAGAGCAAUUACAGGAUCUUGCUAACGAUCCGGAGGUACCAGUCCAAGCCUUGCUCUGGACCUGCGCUGAGAGCGGGGCCCAGUCCGGCCGCCCGCCAAGGGGAGCGGGUCACUGGGGCUCGGAGGUGGCUGGACGCGACGGCAGCACAGCGUUCCCUCGUGUCCUGUCCGCUGCUUAGCCCGGUUGCUAGCCUGACGGCUCAAGCGGACCUUCAGCCAUUUGCUGCCUGUCUGUGCUGAUGUGUUAGCAACCCUCCUUUCACUGCUAAUCCCCCCGGACGUCUACUGUCACAACAGCCACGCGCCGUACGUGACAGACCGAGGGUAUGGCAAGGUGAGUAUUACUUUACCUUUUUUUUUAAUUUUUUUUAAAUAGAUCGAGAACAAGCUUUGCAAAAUGAUGCUUCAAAUCCCAGCAAGGAUCCCACUGCUGCCAGCUCGUCAUGCAAUCCCGUCUUCUCCUGCAGCGUAGCAGUGCCCUGCAGUGGGGAACUGGGCUCACUGCACCUGCCAGCGACCACGGCACUGCUCCAUUAAGUGGCCGGGCCCAGUGCUAAGUGCUGCGCUGGUGAUAACCUGAAGCCGCUCCCCAGAAGCCGACCGCGUUACUCUGACUACAUACCGCUGUCGCAUCAGAUCGGAGUCCGCCUCGCUGCUCCUAUUGGAAACGACCCCUCCUGCUGUUGUGAGCGGUGCUAUGCGGCAAUGUUCACAGGUUCUCCUCCAGACACCGUUACAGUUCCCAGCGCGAACACAAGCCUUUCUAUGCCUGCCACAGCCUGCAGUCAUCCGGGGAUCGCCAGGCACCGUCUCUUCCCAGAUGGGUUGCCGCUCCGGUGUGAGCUGCUUCGAGGACUGGAGCACAGGAUCAGGCCCAUGCGCUGGAAACCCGUUCAUCAGUCCACUGCACCCCAGCCAGAGAGUACAGGAGGCAGCUUUAGCUCGAGAAAAAGGAAAUUGGGGGAUAAAACCUGCCUCUCUCCAUAGUAUGGAUGCCCCCAACACACACACACACAGACUCCAUCUCUUCUUCCUCUGCAGCAGUGAUUGCAAUGGGAGCAGGGCAGGGAGUCACCCAAGGGAGGCUGCUAACAAAGAAAGUACAAAGAAAACACAGCUGGUAACACUGGACAGUGGUUUAUUGUCACAGUGCAAGGGCACAGGCCUGACCUGCUGAGAGCACGAAAUGCCUGGGACCAACCAGGCACUGCGCAGCGCCCCCCGAAUCAGGGCCUGUAUCUAGAGCUGGAGCGAAUGUUUCACACCCAGGAAAGAAGUUCAGCCAGGCAGAGGUUGUGGGACUUUCCUGCUUGCUCAGCUACUAAGGACACACAGCCUCCCUUGAGUGACUCCUGCCCUGCUCCCAUUGCAAUCAGUGCUGCAGAGGGAGAAGAGAUGGAGUCUGCGCAUUUUCUGUGAUUCUGCAAGGCCAGGAGUCCACGGGAAAAACCUACAGGUGACACCCUGCUACGGGUGUGAUGUUCUUCGUUCAGAAAAAGACAUUUGGAUCCGGUGACAAUGGAGCAUUGUGCCGUGUCAGAGGAAAGGAGGAAGGAGCUGGGCUGAAAGACUGCACAUCUGCAUGCAUCUGCAGGGCUCAGAACCUCUUGGCAGGGGUAUCCAGAGUUAAAACUCAAAAUAAGGGUGGCACUACAGACCACUGCAGACACACACGUGCUCUAGUGACUUGUCCAUGCGUGUGUCCCAGCUGCAUUAGGCUUUUCACACUUAACACUUGUGCAGGCUGAGGCUGUGUCUACACUAGAGCUUUAGCUCCAGUUAAUUGAUUUCCAACUAACUCCAGGUAGUUCCUAUGUUUGUAAAAGCCAGCUAAGACGUGCCCCACACCUUUCCCAGGCAAUAAACGGCUGGGGGAUGCCUGUACUCGCCUUUGCAAACAGGUUAACUGUUUGAAGUUAACUGACCAGGACUGUGCCACCUGGUAUCUGGCCAUUGCAGUAAGUGCCCAGGCUGUAGACAGAUUAAGAGCUAAUUAGCUGCCAGGUUCCUUGUCAUUAAGCCUCUUGUAGCAAGCAUGCAGGGGCUAAGGUCUGGAGCUGCCUUGCAUGAGUUUAGCUCCUAUGCCUUUACUGGCCUGCAUGGUAAAAGCCAUUUUCAGUUGAAGAUGCUACAUUCAGGCCAGGAGGGAAGGUGCUUCCUCCCACACUGGGACAGUCGAGACCUUGCCCGUAUGGCUGAACUCACACGUGGCUUCUGCAACAAGGUACAUACCACCCCAGUGCACAGGGCUCCUACAUGCCUCUAGCUUCUGCCUUGCUGGUAAGCACUGGAAAGGCAGUGGUCAUAACGGGGAGCCUCCUACGCCCUCACCUGUGGGCCUUCGAGCCCCAAGAAAUGGAUUUAAGCAGCAUACAGCAGUCUCCAACCAUGGGUCUCUUGCCCUGCUGGGAACUGCUGUAGACACCUGUCAUUCUCCGUGCCUCUCACGGGAAGGCAACGGUGCCACAGCCCCUUCCCACCAGCCUGGCUGUCCAUAGACCGUAAAACCAGCGGGAACCUGCAGCAGCCUCAGUGCCUCUCAACACAAGGCCUGGCAUAAGGAGCAGGGCCAGCGUGUGUGUGCAGCAAGCAUCGUUAUGGUGGUCCCGGGUGGGGAAAGGAGGCCUUUCAUUGCAGUGAAAUCCAAGGGAGACCUCCGAGCAGCAUAAAUCCUCUCGUUCCCUUGCCAGCUGCAGGGGUGAAGCGGUAGAAAAACAGGGCCCAGCCCCUGCAGAGCACUCAUAAACUCAGUCCCCUUGUUAAACAGAGCAGCUGUAUCCCAGACUUACAACAGCCAACUUCCAAAGGAGGAAGAGGUGGGGCAGGGGAGCCGUAGCAGGCAGACCUGCAGCGUGGCACAUGGCUGACGUGCAAUUAUGCAGCACAGAUCUGGUCCCAGAGAAAGGAUGGGAUGGGAUGGGAUGGGAUGGGAUGGGACACACCAUGGGGACUGGGAAGGGACGAGAGGUGCAGCCAGGAGGAGGCUUGUGGUGGGCGGGCAGAGCUGGCAACAGGAGGAGGGGAAGCUGGAGUGGGGUGAGCUGGCAGAGCAGGGUCCAACCCUUGACCCCGAGUGCAGUGGGGCUCUCAGACCUUUCGUUGGGUUUAAAUGCCCCACUUUGAAGUGUUACCAGCACAAUUCCUGGUCGGAAGCAUUUCUCUAAACACCCCCAGGAAUUUCUGUGUCUAGCCCGGCUCUGCCGCCCUCACCAUCUGCAUCUCAGUCCAUCCUCCUGGAGGGAAAAGGACCGUCACUAUUUACAUCUCGGCACUGACACGGGUACGGCCCUCCAGCUCAGAAUCUCAGCUUGAAGCCCGGACCGUGAGUCCGAGCCGAGUCCAGAAGCCAGCAUUUAAGCACCCAUCCUUCUCCGGGUUGUCACGAGUGGCUAUUCUUAACCGAAUGCUUGAAAUUCACAUUUUCCAACACAUGGGAAUGAAAGGUUUUGUCGGAAGAAUUCAAUCCAGAGUCUCACUUGCAUGAUGUUACUAACUCCAGAAUAAACUCGAGUCAGUCGGUGGUGGGAUGGAUCAGACAUGCCCGAGGACCCUCUAGUGCCCCGCGACACUGGAGCAGGUGAUGUGAUGCAGCAGCUGAUUUCUACUUCAGCAUCCAUCCGAAGGCCUUUUCAUCUCCCUCCGCCAACUCGGCCCCCGAGCCUCUGGCGAGUCUGCGAUUGUGCUCACAUCUGUGCAGCGCGGCUGAGGAAGUGAGGUGGGACAUCUCCCCUCGCCCUCCUCACUGCGGCAGAACAGAAGCCCCUUGCUCUAAGAACCUGCAACACGCCACAGAUGGCGAGAGACCCCGACCAUUCAAACAGGAGCAAGGCCCCAGCGGAGCCUGGUGAUACCCACCAUGCGGGAUCUGGCAUAAAAGGCCAGCUCCAAAGGCCACUGAAGCCAGGGGAAAGAUUUCUACUGUUUUCAUGGGCUUUUUCCCUUCCACUUGCAAAGCACCAGGCCUUUUGGGUCGCCGUGAAAACUGCAGGAGGCAAGAAUAAAGACGUUUUAGUAAACCUGCAAACACCCCCACUGACGCCCCAACCUUUUGCCCUGGCAAAGCGCAAUCUUCUCACUUCCAAAAAUCCUGCCAGUCAUCUUUCCUGUCCGCUUAUCUCGCAGGCUCCCAUCAGAAAUUGCAGAGGCAUAAAGAACAACCAGGAUUUUAUUGAUUUGAAAAUACAUAUAACCAUAGAGAAUAUAGUUUUAGUAUUUCUUUCUGAACAACAGUAAGGAACAAUUUACAUUAAAAAAAAAAAACCAAACCAAAGCAUGAAUAAAGUAAUAUCAAACAGA
Alligator mississippiensis (American alligator) is the source of this 4859-nucleotide long non-coding RNA. RefSeq lists it as uncharacterized. NCBI's taxonomy places the organism in Eukaryota, Metazoa, Chordata, Crocodylia, Alligatoridae. The transcript is spliced from 3 exons. The record is from RefSeq and is a predicted model, not a curated record.